CGUCGCUGUUUGGUCAGCAGUGUGUGGACCGUCUCUACCCGCCCUACAACACUCCCCGCGAUACUCGGUCCCCACCACUGUGACCCCUUUUGUCUGGAACGCAAUGAGGACUCAGGCUGUUGCGGUGGAGCCUUGACACAGCAUGACGAGUGAAACCGAGACACUGUACUCUGUACAGAGCUACGAGGCGUCAAAGAACGGGGACUGUCGGACAACCGCAUAGCACGGCUCUUAGUUCAGGCACAGGGAGCUCUGCCUUUCACAACCAGAAAGCCACGCAGUGAUGCCUCUCAUCAUGGCCCUCCAGGACAGAAGGAGUAUUGAUCGUUCCCUGCCCUGCUUUAAAUAUAAAAAGUUGA
Long non-coding RNA from Mustela erminea (ermine), 359 nucleotides. RefSeq lists it as uncharacterized. The transcript is spliced from 3 exons. The record is from RefSeq and is a predicted model, not a curated record. Lineage: Eukaryota; Metazoa; Chordata; Mammalia; Carnivora; Mustelidae.